AUUGAACGCUGGCGGCAGGCUUAACACAUGCAAGUCGAGCGAGCGGCGGACGGGUGAGUAAUGUCUGGGCAACUGCCUGAUGGAGGGGGAUAACUACUGGAAACGGUAGCUAAUACCGCAUACCAUCAGAUGUGCCCAGAUGGGAUUAGCUAGUGGGUGGGGUAAUGGCUCACCUCGGCGACGAUCCCUAGCUGGUCUGAUAGGAUGACCGGCAACACGGGAACGGAGACACGGCCAAGACUCCGACGGGAGGCAGCGGGGGGGAAGAUUGCACAAGGGGGGCAAGCCUGAUGCAGCCAGGCCGCGGGGGUGAAGAAGGCCUUCGGGUUGUAAAGCACUUUAAGCGAGGAGGCGUUACCCGCAGAAGAAGCAACGGCUAACUCCGUGCCAGCAGCCGCGGUAAUAC
Molecule: ribosomal RNA, 406 nt
Filed under: uncultured bacterium
Lineage: Bacteria
Description: partial 16S ribosomal RNA
Rfam family: Bacterial small subunit ribosomal RNA
Source: RNAcentral